AUUGAACGCUGGCGGCAGGCCUAACACAUGCAAGUCGAACGGAGUGGCGCACGGGUGAGUAAUGUAUAGCUAAUCUGCCCUACACUAGGGGACAACAGUUGGAAACGGCUGCUAAUACUCUAUAGUGUAGGAUGAGGCUAUAUUGUAUCAGCUAGUUGGUGAGGUAAUGGCUCACCAAGGGUAUGACGCAUAACUGGUCUGAGAGGAUGAUCAGGCACUCCUGAGCUGAGACACGGUCGAGACUCUUACGGGAGGCGGCAGUAGGGAAUAUUGCUCAGUGGGGUAACCCUGAAGCAGCUACGCCGCGUGGAGGAUGACACUUUGCGGAGCGUAAACUCCUUUUGUUAUGUAAGCGGUACCUAACGAAUAAGCACCGGCUAACUCCGUGCCAGCCGCCGCGGUAAUAC
Molecule: ribosomal RNA, 407 nt
Filed under: uncultured bacterium
Lineage: Bacteria
Description: partial 16S ribosomal RNA
Rfam family: Bacterial small subunit ribosomal RNA
Source: RNAcentral